Molecule: ribosomal RNA, 114 nt
Filed under: uncultured bacterium
Lineage: Bacteria
Description: partial 16S ribosomal RNA
Rfam family: Bacterial small subunit ribosomal RNA
Source: RNAcentral
CGUUCCCGGGUCUUGUACACACCGCCCGUCACACCAUGGGAGUGGGUUUUGCCGGAAGUAGUUAGCCUAACCGCAAGGAGGGCGAUUACCACGGUAGGAUUCGUGACUGGGGUG